AGAGUUUGAUCAUGGCUCAGGAUGAACGCUGGCGGCGCGCCUAACACAUGCAAGUCGAACGGUUAAGGCGCCCUUCGGGGCGCGAAUAGAGUGGCGAACGGCUGAGUAACACGUGGGCAACCUGCCCCCCGCACCGGGACAGCCUCGGGAAACCGUGGGUAAUACCGGGUACUCCGCCACCCCCGCAUGGGGGAGGCGGGAGAGCGUAUGCGGCGGGGGAUGGGCCCGCGGCCUGUUAGCUAGUUGGCGGGGCAACGGCCCACCAAGGCGAUUAUGGGUAGCUGGGUUGAGAGACCGACCAGCCAGAUUGGGACUGAGACACGGCCCAGACUCCUACGGGAGGCAGCAGUGGGGAAUCUUGCGCAAUGGGGGCAACCCUGACGCAGCGACGCCGCGUGCGGGACGAAGGCCUUCGGGUCGUAAACCGCUUUCAGCAGGGACGAGGCCGCGAGGUGACGGUACCUGCAGAAGAAGCCCCGGCUAACUACGUGCCAGCAGCCGCGGUAAUACGUAGGGGGCGAGCGUUAUCCGGAUUCAUUGGGCGUAAAGCGCUCGUAGGCUGCCCGCUAGGUCCGGGGUCAAAUCCGGGGGCUCAACCCCCGCACGCCCCGGAUACCGGCGGGCUUGAGUCGGGUAGGGGAAGGCGGAAUUCCAGGUGUAGCGGUGGAAUGCGCAGAUAUCUGGAAGAACACCGGUGGCGAAAGCGGCCUUCUGGGCCUCGACUGACGCUGAGGAGCGAAAGCUGGGGGAGCGAACAGGAUUAGAUACCCUGGUAGUCCCAGCCGUAAACGAUGGACGCUAGGUGUGGGGGGAGAUUCCCUCCGUGCCGCAGCCAACGCAUUAAGCGUCCCGCCUGGGGAGUACGGCCGCAAGGCUAAAACUCAAAGGAAUUGACGG
This 897-nucleotide ribosomal RNA is filed under the name uncultured bacterium. RNAcentral's name for it is "bacterial SSU rRNA". It matches the Rfam family "Bacterial small subunit ribosomal RNA", at positions 8 to 916 of the family's 1533-position model. The record is from RNAcentral.